GGGGGAUAUUGGACAAUGGGGGAAACCCUGAUCCAGCGACGCCGCGUGAGUGAAGAAGUAUUUCGGUAUGUAAAGCUCUAUCAGCAGGGAAGAAGAGAGACGGUACCUGACUAAGAAGCCCCGGCUAACUAC
This 132-nucleotide ribosomal RNA is filed under the name uncultured bacterium. Its description in RNAcentral is "partial 16S ribosomal RNA". It matches the Rfam family "Bacterial small subunit ribosomal RNA", at positions 356 to 504 of the family's 1533-position model. The record is from RNAcentral.